UCUACCUUCUCAUUCUCAUUUUGCUCUCAAAUAAUACCUCUAUUUAUAAGCAUUUCAUGGCAGACAAUUAUGAGCAUUUUUGUGCUGGAAUGGAAUAGAUAUGGCUUCUCAAUCUCUGAGUUCCAGUUGGGUAGAUAUCUUGGUGUGCCUCUCAUUAGUGGAAAGCUAAGUGAUGUUGAUUGCAUGCUGCUCCUGGAAAAAAAUAAAAAAAAUAAUUACUGUUCAUUUCUUACGGGCUUGAAACCAAGUUCAUUGGGAAAUGCAGAGCUAAUUUCAACCCAAAAAUUUGCUUAUCAUUUUUAGUGAAUAAUGAAAUAGAUGAUGAUUAACACAGAUGAUGAUUGACAGUGAUCAUUGAAAUAAUGAAGGAGGUUACAAUCAAAGAACACCCAGAGUGAUACAGGAUGAACAAUCAAGUUGAACAGUAGGUGCAUCAAAGUCUAGACAACACUUACGGAAAGAAGUCUGACGCAGGAGAUUCUAGAGGAGCUGGGCUAUCACAUACGUAGUUGAUAGCUUUGAACUACCUUGACAUGGCAGACCAGUGCAGGGAUGGAAGGACACAAGAGUUUGGGUCCGAUUUGAGGAUGUUUUUGCACACUAUGAAACAAUAAGUUGUCAGGCUUAGGAUCCCUAUGCAUGAUGAGAACAGAGGGCAUGACUGAAACAGUGUAAGAAUGAUUCAGAGCAUGUUUUCUUUCCUACCCUUAUUCAUUCAUAAAUUAGAGGCUUGUCAUCCUUCACCAUCCUCCUACAAAAAGAUCACCAAGUAAUUAAAAGCCAUAAACUUUGGAACCAAUCAAACUCUCAAAAUUAAUUAACUUCGAUUUUUUGCCGGUUCAAUAAAAAAUACUAUCCAUCAAGCAUAUCUGUAAUAUUCAUACAAAUCAACCAGAAUUAAAGCCAAUAAUUCAAAACCAAAACAUAUAUAAUGCUUACCAAGCCGUAAGGGAUCUACCUUAAUGAUGUCCCACAACCAUGCAAGGCCAUGAAGGACAUCCUUAGCAUCAGGAUGUGCUCCCACUCCACUACUGGCUCACGCCAUCUUCUGCUUCCUUGUGGAUCAAACUUAAUGGAGACAACAAGGCUUGAAUCAGGAAGAGAAUUGGUUAUAAGCAGACAGAAAGAUUCAGAGAGACAGAGAGAGGCUAUGUACCCAAAUAUCCCACAGCAAUAAUAAAUUUGAUGCUCAAUUCAAAAGCAUUAAAUGAAAUCUGAAAUAUUCAUACAAAUCAAUCAGAAUUAAAGCCAAUAAUUCAAAACUAAAACAUAUAUAAUGCUUACCAAGCCGUAAGGGGUCUACCUUAAUGAUGUCCCACAACCAUGCAAGGCCAUGAAGGACAUCAUUAGCAUCAGGAUGCUCCCACUCCACUACUGCCUCACGCCAUUCUUUCGCUUUCUUGUGGAUGAAACUUAAUGCAGACAACAAGGCUUGAAUCAGGAAGAGAAUUGGUUACAAGCAGACAGAAGAUUCAGAGAGACAGAAAGAGGUUAUGUACGCAGAUAUCCCACAGCAAUAAUGAAUUUGGUGCUCAAUUCAAAAGCAUUAUAUGAAAUUGUCUGACAUGAGACUAGAGCAAUUAGGAUUACUGGAGAAUCCACCGCUUCUUGUGCCAUACCCAAAGCUAUGCAGAGUGUGGAUCCCCUUAGCUUCCCCAAAUGCAUCAUCUCUCCUUGAAAUGCCUUAACAACAAACAUUCUGCAGCUUUGGAAUCCUUCAUCGGCUGUCAAAUUAUCUACAAAAAGAUUUUCAAAUUAUUAAAAAGGCACAAACUUCAAAGCUAAUCAAAUUCUCAUUUAAAAUCUCGUCUUUAAAAAGACAAGAGUUAUCCAAUCCCACAUAAACAAAUUAAGAAUCUUCCUAUAAAUAAUAAAUAAAAAGAGGAAUUUUUGAUAAUAUUUAAUUAGUGUCUCAAAAUUAAAGGGACAAAUAUAAAAGGUGUUAGGAUUGUGAGAGAAAGAGAGGAAUCACCGAAACUUUAUAAAGGGACGAAGGACAUCCUUAGCGUUAGGAUCCUCCCACUCCACUACUGACUCCCACCAUUCUUUUGGUCUUAUAUACAUUUCUCUAAUAGAAGGGGGAGAUGGAAGACAAAUUGCCAUCCUCUUCAGCUUCUCACAUAUGUCUACGUCAAUUUUUUGGAGAGAAUUGCAAAUUAAUUUUGCACUACAAAUUCUUUUCAGUUCUGGUAACCAACUCAAUUCCAAUUCUCUUAACUUUGGGAUUCUGAACUCGAUGUUGUUGUUGCUGCUUUCUUCAUCUGAUCUUGUUCCACUUAUUAUCUCCUCCAUCUUCUCACAUCCUACAACUAUAAUCUUUUCUAGGUUUAAGAGACAAAUCCAAGAAGAUGGAACCAAGAUCUCCAUGCUAUCGCAAAUCAUUACUUCCAUUUGUUGGAGAGAAUCACAAAUCAGUUUUGCACUACAAAUUCUUUUCAGUUCUGGUAACAUACUCAAUUUCAAUUCUCUUAACUUUGGGAGUUUGAAUUCGGUGUUGCUACUGCUGCUUUCUUCAUCUGAUUUUGUUCCACCUAUUAUCUCCUUCAUCUUCUUACAUCCUAAUACUGUAAUCUUUUCUAGGUUUACGAGGGAAGUCCAAGAAGAUGGAACCAAGCUCUCUAUGCUGUUGCAAUUCCGUACUUUAAUUUGUUGGAGAGAAUCGCAAAUCAGUUUUGCACUACAAAUUCUUUUCAGUUCUGGUAAAUUUUCUAAUGCCAGAGAUCUUAACUUUGGGAGUUUGAAUUCGGUGUUGCUACUGUUGCUUUCUUCAUCUGAUCUUGUUCCACCUAUUAUCUCCUUCAUCUUCGUACAUCCUGCAACUGUAAUCUCUUCUAGGUUUACGAGGCAAAUCCAAGAAGAUGGAACCGAGAUUUCCAUGCUCUUGCAAUUCUGUACUUCAAUUUGUUGGAGAGAAUCGCACAUCAAUUUUGCUCUACAAAUGCUUUUCAGUUCUGGUAAAUUAAACAAUGCUAGAGAUCUUAACUUUGGGAGUUUGAAUUCGGUGCUGCUGCUGUUGCUGCUGCUGCUGCUUUCUUCAUCUGAUCUUGUUCCUGUAAAGAUAUCAACGGCUUUACGUCUACCAAGUGUCAGAAGAUUAGAGAUUGAUAUUGUUAGAAUGUUGUUAGUAUUGUUUGUUAGCUAAGAGAGUUUGUUAGUAUUGUUUCAGUGCUAAGAGAAAGAACAGAUACCGUGUAUUAUCUUUCUAAUAUAGCCUAUAUAAACUGAGGAUUAGUGAUGUGAAAAUAAUGAAAGAAAAAGUAAUAAUAAAACAGUGCGAGACUUCAUCUUCUGCUUCUCUGUAACAGAAUUAUUCUAUAUUCUUCUUUCCUUUCUAUUCUCUGCACUUUCUUCAUUUCUGCUCCUUUUCUGUAUAAAUUCUACCGUCUAUCAUGGUAUCAGAGCAGUAACUGGUCCGAUGGGAUGUCUUCUGAUUGUCAAGAAUUAUACUGGCGAUCGUCUAAAUUUUGGUUUGGCUGCUAAGCAAGCAAAAUCUGAAGGUUAUAAAGUAGAGACUGUAAUUGUUGGAGAUGACUGUGCUUUACCUUCACCUCGAGGCAUAGCUGGACGAAGAGGGUUGACGGGGACUAUUCUUGUUCAUAAGGUUGCUGCAGCUGCAGUUGCUGUUGGCCUUUCUCUUGAUGAAGUUGCUGCAGAAGCGAAACGUGCAUCUGAAAUGGUUCUAAUAUCUUGCUAAUCUCUGUUUAUGUGGAGAGAGCAAUACGGUCUCUUAAGAUUCAUACUUCUCAACAAGCUUGCACAAAGAGGCACUAAAUUGCUUUUGGCCACUUGCCAGAGCAAGUACGAUAGUCUUCUCCAUCAAAUCCUGAAGAAGAUCAAUAUAUAACAAAGAGUCGCCGCCAAUGUAUUACCAGCAGCCAUUAAUCUCUGUUUCUGGCAUUAUUAUCUCCUUAUCUACACAAUUCUUUCAUAAUAAUCGAUCUGUCUAUCAUUUGUUUGAUAUAUUGUCAAACUGAAAAAUUCUUCUUCAAAUCUUCAACUUUCUGCAAGAUUCUUCCUUCUCAAUCUUUGAUUCUCUUCUUUUCUAUCUCUUGCACUCUAAAAAUGGCGACUACUUCUCAACUUCAGAUAGUUCAACUCUAAUAAGAGAAUAUACACAUAAACGUUUUCUUCUUCCUCUGCACUACAUAAUUUCUCUCUGCUUCUCUUCAUCUCUAUUCUCUGCUUUUCUUCUCUUCAUCUCUAUUGCUUCUAUUCUCUGCUUUUCUAUUGCAGUAUCUCCCUCUAAUUCUAUUCACUUCUUUGUUCAUCUCUGUGACGAUUCUUGCUAGCUUUUCAAAAUAUUUCUUCUAUCUCCAUUGCUUCCAAUCCAGUGUUCCAUUCCAGGAUGAAACAUCUCCAGAUCGAUUAUCACUUUGUUAGGGAACGGGUUAUCAAGGGUGAUUUACUGGUCCAGCAUGUCUUCUCUACUGAUCAGUUUGCUGAUAUCCUCAUCAAAGGUCUUUCCAUUUCUUUGUUUCAGCAUCAUUGUUCCAAUCUCAUGCUUGGCUCCUCCAAGCCUGCGAUUGAGGGGGCAUGUAAAGAUAUCAACGGCUUUACGUCUACCAAGUGUCAGAAGAUUAGAGAUUGAUAUUGUUAGAAUGUUGUUAGUAUUGUUUGUUAGCUAAGAGAGUUUGUUAGUAUUGUUUCAGUGCUAAGAGAAAGAACAGAUACCGUGUAUUACCUUUCUAAUAUAGCCUAUAUAAACUGAGGAUUAGUGAUGUGAAAAUAAUGAAAGAAAAAGUAAUAAUAAAACAGUGCGAGACUUCAUCUUCUGCUUCUCUGUAACAGAAUUAUUCUAUAUUCUUCUUCCUUUCUAUUCUCCGCACUUUCUUCAUUUCUGCUCCUUUUCUGUAUAAAUUCUACCGUCUAUCAGUUCCACCUAUUAUCUCCUUCAUCUUCUUACAUUCUGCAACUAUAAUCUCUUCUAGGUUUACGAGGCAAAUCCAAGAAGAUGGAAUCAAGCUCUCCAUGUUGUUGCAAUUCCUUACUUCAAUUUGUUGGAGAGAAUCAUACAUCAGUUUUGCACUACAAAUGCUUUUCAGUUCUGGUAAAUUAAACAAUGCUAGAGAUCUUAACUUUGGAAGUUUGAAUUCGGUGUUGCUGCUGCUGCUUUCUUCAUCUGAUCUUGUUCCACCUAUUAUCUCCUCCAUUUUCUCACAUCCUCUAACUGUAAUUUCUUCUAGGUUUACGAGGCAAAUCCAAGAAGAUGGAAUCAAGCUCUCCAUGCUGUCGCAAUUCGUUACUUCAAUUUGUUGGAGAGAAUCGCACAUCAAUUUUGCACUAUAAAUGCUUUUCAGUUCUGGUAAAUUAAACAAUGCCAGAGAUCUUAACUUUGGGAGUUUGAAUUCGGUGCUGCUGUUGCUAUUUUCUUCAUCUGAUCUUGUUCCACCUAUUAUCUCCUUCAUCUUCUUACAUCUUGCAACUGUAAUCUGUUCUAGGUUUGCGAGGCAAAUCCAUGAAGAUGGAACCAAGCUCUUCAUGUUGUCGCAAUUCCAUACUUUAAUUUGUUGGAGAGAAUCGCACAUCAAUUUUGCACUACAAAUGCUUUUCAGUUUUGGUAAAUUAAACAAUGCCAGAGAUCUUAACUUUGGGAUUUUGAAUUCGGUGCUGCUGCUGCUGCUUUCUUCAUCUGAUCUUGUUCCACCUAUUAUCUCCUCCAUUUUCUCACAUCCUCUAACUGUAAUCUCUUCUAGGUUUACGAGGCAAAUCAAAGAAGAUGGAACCAAGAUUUCCAUGCUCUUGCAAUUCUUUACUUCAAUUUGUUGGAGAGAAUCGCACAUCAGUUUUGCUCUACAAAUGCUUUUCAGUUCUGGUAAAUUAAACAAUGCCAGAGAUCUUAACUUUGGGAGUUUGAAUUCGGUGCUGCUGCUGCUGCUGCUUUCUUCAUCUGAUCUUGUUCCACCUAUUAUAUCCUUCAUCUUCUUACAUCCUGCAACUAUAAUCUCUUCUAGGUUUACGAGGCAAAUCCAAGAAGAUGGAAUCAAGCUCUCCAUGCUGUUGCAAUUCAUUACUUCAAUUUGUUGGAGAGAAUCGCACAUCAGUUUUGCAUUACAAAUGCUUUUCAGUUCUGGUAAAUUAAACAAUGCCAGAAAUCUUAACUUUGGAAGUUUGAAUUCGGAGUUGCUGCUGCUGCUUUCUUCAUUUGAUCUUGUUCCACCUAUUAUCUCCUCCAUUUUCUCACAUUCAUCUACUCUAAUCUCUUCCAAGUUUACGAGGUUUAGCAGCAAGACAAAAGGGAACAACUUCUUCAUACUACUACAUCGAGAGCAAUUGAACUCUUUAAGACUAGAAAAUACACCAUUAUAAGAUGGCAAUGAUGUUGGAGAAGGGCCAAACCAAGAAGAUGAAACCAAGCUCUUCAUGCUAUUGCAAUCCUCAAUGUGGAUGACCUCCAGUUUAUUUGAAUGCUCUAUCAGAGAGGAAACAUCACAUGAACAUUUAUAAAUAAACAGUUGUUGAAUGUCAUUUGGGAACAUGACUUGAAAAUCUCCAUCUCCAUUGUUACAUAAAUUAUCCAACCUAACUGUUUUACUUGGUGAUGUACUUUGUGACGUCAAAUUACCCAACCCAACAAAAACAUAUUGACAUCUAUCUCGUGGUCCUACAAAAAUAUGGUAUGUACUUGGUGAUCGUGUCGUAUCCCGAGAAUUCAAAUACUCCACAAAGUCAGAUUGACCUUCAAAAUGGCAUGCCAAAAUUUCCAACUCCCCCAAGCAUCCUACUUCCUUUCCUUUAACUGUUACUGGAUAGUAGUUACGAUCAAUCCACUCCUCUAAUAUGAAGACUUGCAGGUGAGAGAGUUUUGGUAAUAUCCAACUAGGAAACUUCUUUUCACCACAUCCAUUCAUCCUCAGAUACCUCAGGUUGGAUAGACAUUGCAUGCCUUGAGGUAUCUUUUUAAGUGCCCUAGUACCAGAGAGAUCUAGCCUCUUCAGUGCUCCGAGCUUUUCUAAUGAUGGUACAUGCCUUAAACUUCUGCAUUCUUUGAGCAAUAAUGCAGUGAUACUCACCAGUGUAGAGACAGAAUUAGGCAAUUUUAUGAUGCUUGUACGAGACAAGUCAAGAACCUUGAGCCCAUGCAAUUGUGUGAAAAACGAAUUUGCAAUAAAUUGCAAAUGUAGAUUAUCACAUGGCAAUAGAGUUGAAAGAUUGGGGCAUCUUGGUGAAUAACUAGAAGGAAUUUCCUCGAAAUAACAAUCCUUCAUAUAGACUCUCACUAAAUUACCCAACCAAAUUGUUUUACUUCUGCCAGAAUUAGCUAUUUCAUUAUAAUAAUCUUCAUCCAGUGGUCCUACGCAAAUACUGUAUGUACUUAGUGAUCGAGUCUUAUCCCGAGAAUUGAGAUACUCCACAAAGUCAGAUUGACCUUCAAAAUGGCAUGCCAAAUUUUCCAACUCCCUCAAGCAUCCUACUUCCUUUCCUUUAAUUGUUACUGGAAAGUAGUCAUCACCAAUCUUCUCCUCUAAUAUGAAGACUUGCAGGUGAGAGAGUUUUGGUAAUAUCCCACUAGGAAACUCAUUUUCACCACAUCUAUUCAUCCUCAGAUACCUCAGGUUGGAUAGACAUUGCAGGCCUUGAGGUAUCUUUUCAAGUGCCAAAGUACCAGAGAGAUCUAGCCUCUUCAGUGCUCCGAGCUUUUCUAAUGAUGGUACAUACCUUAAACUUUCGCAUUCUUUGAGCAAUAAUGCAGUGAGACUCACCAGUUCAGAGACAGAAUCAGGCAAUUCUUUGAUUUCUGUACAAGACAGAUCAAGAACCUUGAGCCCAUGCAAUUGUGUGAAAAAAGAAUCUGCAAUAAAUUGCAACCCAUCAUUAUCACAAAGCAAUAGAGUUGAAAGAUUAGGACACCUUGGUGAAUGACUGGAAGGAAUUUCCGUGAAAAAACAACCCUUCAGAUAGACUCUCGCUAGAUUCUCUUUCCACAUAUCCACAUCUGGUAAUUCAUCAUUAUAUCCCCCAACCAUGACUGGAGUUUGUUUGGAGUAUUUGGUGGGCCAUGUCCCUAAUCAAGUCAUGCAUCUUGACAUAUCUACGAUCACCAUAACCAGCUCUUUCCAAUAAACAGACUUUUUCAAGUUUAUCAAGCAUCGUGUGGCCCUCGUCAAAUGCUGCUUGCCUCCUCCUCAUUUCUUCAAUUAUUCCCUCAUCGAUCAAAUAACCUAUCAGCUCCUCCCUUCCAAUCUUAUAAUCUUCAGGAUACAAUGCACAAUACAAGAGACAUUGUUGUGAUGCAAAAUCAUUUAACUGAUCAUAACUAAACCUCAAUAACCGGAAUACCUCAUCUUCCAUUUCCCUACAUUUUGAUUCUUUCAAUUUCUUCAAUGUAUUCCUCCACUCAUGUGGCUCAUCCACUCCCCUCAUGCUUCCUGCCAUUGUAAUAAUUCCCAACGGCAAACCAGCACAUUCCCUUACAACAUCCACAGCAAUUCGUUCCACUUCUGGAGAAAGUGUUAUGUCAUGUCCAAGUCUCUCAAUAAACAAAGCCCAAGCUUCUCUCUCCAAAAUAGGCUGCACUUUGAUUAUGUGUUGGGUUUUCAUUUGUUGACAAACCUUUUCUGAUCGAGUUGUAAGAAUAAGCUUGCAUCCCUCAACUUCGUCAGGAACUCCUAGCUUUUGUAGGUCAAAAGCCUUCCACAAAUCAUCUAAAAUCAGAACCCAUUUUUGUUUCUUCUUUAAUUCUUCUUUCAACGCGGCCGCUCUAUGCAGCUCCUCAUCUUCACUGGAAAGAUCUAAACCAAUACGUCUUGCGAGACUUGUCUGCAAUCUAUUAAUGCUGGUAUCCUGUGAAACAGUAACCCAGUAAACAUGAGUGUCUGGUCUUUCUAGAAGCUGAUUAUAUAUGUGCGUCACCAAUGCCGUCUUUCCCACUCCGCCCAUCCCAUAGAUGCCAAUACUUGAAACUUCAUUGCGCAUCAACAAAGAUGAGAUAGUCUUCUUGUGUUCUUCGAAUGCUUGACCCACCAUUUUUCUCGUUGGCAGUGCAUCUCCUUUAAUCUUAUUUGUGUUGCCUGCAACCCCUCCAGAAGAGCUAGCUCCUGCGCCAGGUUGCUCUGAUCUUCCACUAUUGUUCUCCACGUCCUCCUCCCCCAUUAAAAAAGCAGAGAUGGCAAUCUGAUCCCAAGGUUUCCCUUCUAAUUGUUGCAUCAGAUCUAUUCUUUGUGUAGCUUCCCCUGUAUUAUCAUGUGCAUCAAUCAUGAGUCUCCUGGAAUGCUGACUAGAUCCAUCACCAGUGUUUUCCAUGCUAUUUGCCGCUAAGUUCGGACAAAUUCUCUCUUCCUCCGCACCUAGUUCCAUGCCAUGUACUCCCACUUGUAUCCUCCCAGCAUGCCCUGCCAAACUGUCAAGUUCUGCAUUGCUUUGUUCCAACACUUGAACCAGUACUGGUUCUGUCCUGACUGCAACCAUGUUCUGCACAUCGUUCAUAUUGGCAUCAUUGUUUACUGAUGGAGAACAGAGUUGAGUAUCUGUUGGUCGGGAUGAAUCUCCUCGAGGCCCAUCUGUUUGAUAAAUUGAUGGCCUCUCAUGAGAACUAACUCUCUCCAGCUGCGCAAGUUCAGCCCCUCCAAUCAAAUCAUUUGCCCAUGCAAGUUCUCCAGUGAAAAAAGGUCCUCCUUGUUGUGCCAUCUCUACAUGUGUCACUUCAUUGUUCUGUUCUUGCGUUGAAGCUGAAAUUGCAUUAGCGACCUCGUUACUGCUUGAGCCCGCAACAGUUUUAAGUUUCUUUUUUGGAGGGCUAUUAUCAACUGCUUCACAAGCUGCAUCGUGAACUUCUGGUGGAACGUUUUCACAAAUUUUAACACCACGCCCUUUCUUUCUUGCCAAAUGCAAUUUGAUCCUCGUAAUGGAAGUACCUUCGGAAAAAAAAUGCCCACAAAACGUACACGUCAUGCCGCCACCACCACCAUCCAUCUUUUCAACAUAUUCCCAAAAAGGAUCAUUUGGUCGACUCAUUUUGAUCAGUGGCUCUAUAGAAAAGAAAAAAGAAAAAGAUAUGUCAACACGAUGCCCUAUUAAAAAAUAGAAAUUCAAAGGAACAUUGAAUAAAAAUCAAAGGAAGUUCCUCUUAAUGGAGGGAGUUAACAUCAGAAAGUUGUAUGUUCAAUUAACAGAAGAAAAAAACCAAUGAAUUAUGUAACUAGAUCAUAAAUCUCAAUCGAGUUUAAUUUUUUUUUUCCUCUUAAAUUUAUAAUAAACCUUAAACAAAAAUAAAAAACAAAGUGAACAGGUGCUCACAGUAUUUAUAACAAUAAAAAACAAAGUGAACAGGUGCUCACAUAAUAAUAAAAACCCGUGACCCAACUGCAUUCAAUAUUUAUUUUUCCUUAAAUUUAUAACAAACCUUAAUAAAUAAAUAAAUAUCAUCCAUAAAAGGGUAAACUGUGUAACAGAGAAUGGUAUAACGAGAUGAGAUGUGGAAGAGAUUGUUACAGUUAUAGCACAGAGAGAAGAAUGGUUCAAGAGAAAACAAUAAUGGAGGGGAAUCAAAAUCUCUGUUUGAUUUUUUUCUUUUUUGUGUUUUCAGUACACAAUAGCUUGGAAAAGUUUGUUAGCAAUAACCUGUUCGACCUCAAUAAUGUUGUUGUGGAAACUUUGUAAUGGAUCGAUCAGCAGAAAGAAACAUAUUAGAAUGAUUUUUUUUACAUUAAUAUAUUAAAUUAAAAAAUGUUAACGCGUGGACCCAUCAAUGUUUAUCAAUUUUCGAGUAUUUUCAUGACAUAUCGUCUUACAUUGCGAUUAAUAUUUAAGUAUAGAUCAAUUAAUUUUUUAAAUUAAUAAUAAAUUAUUUUAUUUUAUUUUAUUUUAAUUAGAAUUAUAAUUUAUAUGUGAGCCAACAUAUUAAAAACUUAAUGAAUUUCAUAUAUUAAGAAUUAUUUGUACAAAAUUAAAAUAUAAUGAUUAAUCAAAUACAAUUUUAUUAUAAAUAAGUUUUAGAAAUUAAGGAGUAAAAUAUAAUUAAUAAAAGAGAUUAAGAUUCUAGACCUAGAAAAAUCAAGUAAUGACUUGAUUGUAUAAAUUUCUAAAACUAUUAUGAAAUAAUAUAUAUGAUAUUUUUAAGGAGAUAAAAUGAUAUUUUAUCACUAAUAAGGUUGCCAAGUUUUUCAUAUAAAUAUAAUGUUAGAUCUCAUAUUUGUUUUUAUAUUCAUAUGAAGUGAUAAAACAUCUAAAAACAUAAAAAAAAAUUAAAAAUUAACACUAAAAGCAUAAUAACCCCUCUAUCCUAAAUCUUAUUGGUGGAUAACCCGUUUUUUUUUUAAGUAUUUUUUCAUAUUUUAAGCUUCUUAAAAAUUGUAGCACUCAUAAUCUCUAUAUUGUUAGGAAUAAUUCUUAUAUUUUUCAUGUAUCUAUAUGUCAGUAUGUGAGUCUCUCUAUAUAAAUUUAUAGUCGUGCAGUUAUUCACUAUUUGUCCCCUUCAAUUCCAGUGUUACAAAUAAGUUCAAGCUAAAAUAUUUUUCUUUGUUAUAUCCUAUUUAGUAAGGUUAUUAUAUAUCAUUCUUCUAAAAAAUUAACUAAGCUAUAAUAUGGGGUAAUAUACUUAUUCCUUUUUAAAACAAAUUAUUUUUAUAAUUUUAAAAUAUUUAAAUUAUUUUUCAAGUAUCAAAAACAUAGAUUAAUUAGUGUAAUGGAAAUGUAAUUAAAAUCAAGCGCCUUUAGGCCUCAUAUAUAAAUUCUUAACUCUCAAAAUUAUUCCAAUAAAUAUAUAUAAGGAAGAAAAACAUGCAGCUAAGACAGACAGACAAAAAAUAAUGAAAUACAUGGUUUUCCUUAAAAGAAAAGGGAACUUGAAAUACAAAGUCCUUGGCGUUUAUAGGAGGAGAAAAAAUAAAAGGUUAUGUUUAUUUUAUUCCACAGAUGAUGAAAUACUUAUUUUAAUUAGGCACUUUCCUUCACUAUUUUCUCGAGAUCUUUUAGUCACAAUUAAUAGCAAUUUUAAUUAAUUUUACUAAUUAGUAGGGAAUAAAUUUUGAUGGAUCAUGACUUCUAGGAUGAAAAUACUUAAUUAAAUAAAAUGCAAAAAUUACAACCCUUGGUGAUUUAAUAACCAGCAUGCUGUUUUAUUUGAAUGAAUCAAGCAAAACAAAAAAAAAAAAAAGUUUACCUGAACGUUUCUGGCAGCAAAAAAAAGUUCUCCAAGUGUUUGGUUACUAGUUUGCUUAAGCAAUCAGUAAAGAACAGGAAUCUGAGAGAGAAGAAUGGUUUAGAAAAAAAACAACCAACAUGGAAGAAUUAAGCAAUAAAAAACAAAAAAUAUAUAGUUUACCUGCAAAAAAAAGAGGUUCUUCAAGAGUGGUUACAGGUUAGCUUAAGCAAUCAGAAAAGAACAGGGAUCUGAGAGAGAAGAACGGCUUAGAAAAGAAUGGUAGCAGAGAGAGUGUGGAAGAGAUUGAAUGUCAAGAGGAGGUUCUGCAGCUGCUUCGUUGGCUUAAGCAGACAGACAAGGGAUAUAAUAGGCACAGAGAGAAGAGUGGUUCAAGAAAACAAAUCAAUAAUGUAAACAAUUGCUUGGAAGAGUUUUAUAGGAAUCAACAAACUGUUAAAUAUUUCACAUGUCAAUUGAUACCCACCUCGCAUAACGUGGCAACCCAUUUGUUGUUAAAACUUCGAAAACCCAAAUACUGUGAUCUGUUCGAAUGUUAAUUGUAUAAUUAAGAAAGGCAGGCGACCUCAAAUUCAAUAACGUUCAAACUUGGAAACUGCAAAUCAAUUACCUAAGGAUUAUAUAUAUAUAUAUAUAUAUAUAGUGUAGUGGACACCACAAAAAAAGGCAGCAGUGAUCAUUCGGCCCUAGCCGGCCACGAAGUCUUCCAUUCCUAAAAGUAAAUUGUAUAAUUAAGAAAAGCUAAAUUGCUAAAUUUAAAAACAGGACCAUCUGAGAAGCCGGCAUACAACAACAUGUCAAAGAUCCCUUUUUCAAAAAUAGACUAUGUAUCAUGUAGUUUAACAUCUCUAAGCAUAAUUUUUGCGAUCAAUCUCUUCAACAGUGAAGCUAGCUAUCCAAUAUUCGAGCGCUUCAAGGGAAAGAACAUCUCCUUUUUGUGCCAUCACUUCAUUGUUUUGUUCUUGCGCAGAAGCUGAAAUUGCAGUAGUUACCUCGUUAUUAUUGCUUGAGGACCAUCAAUUGCUGCACGGGCUGUAUCGUGAACUUCUUCUGGAACAUGUUUACAAAUCUUAACACCACGGCCUGUCACUCCUGAUAAAUGCAAUUUGAUCCUCGAAAUGGAAGAACGUUUCCCAAAUAAAUGCCCACAAAACUUGUGUAAUUAUUCGUAUAAAAUUGUGUAGAUGUGUAGGACGAAACUAAUAGCUCGUCGCUCAUAUAUGAUCGCAGCUAGUUCUUCCAGUAGUGAGGAUGACAUGUCUUUAGAUGCCGAUCAAGAAGAGGCAUUUGCACCGACUCGCGAUGCUGCCUCUUCCAGCGCGGUUUCACAGUCUAGAGACGGUGUGCCUUCAUAGUGAAAUCAAUUCACCCGCAAGUACGAGGAAUAUUGGAAGGACAACCUUUUAAUGUAAGUUUGUUUUGGUUUUAGUUUUUUUUAAUUAUAAUAUUAUUUAUGAACAACUAAUCAAUAUUUCAUUAAUUUAAUUUAUUUUCAAGUUCACAAACAUUGAGGCCGCCCGAGUAAUAUCAUCGGCAUUUAAAUCGUCGAUGGAGAUUCCAUUAUUUCAAUGCAGUCAGGUUUUCAGACAUCCUGAAUGAAGACCUUAUAUCGACGUAUUGUUUGACAAAUUAGAGGAUAAUGUUAAUUUUUAAUUUCCAGCUUAUUUUUAAUAAAUUAUUAUUAUAAUUGUAAAUAAAUUAUUAUUUUUAUUUUGAGAUAGUUUUGAGAUUUAUCUGUCCUACUCUCCAACUUGCAGAAAACAUUAACUCUGCUGCUAGAAAAUCAUUAACAAUGACCAUUGACAUUUGUUUCGCUCAUGAAUGAGAGGAUUUCUUAUGAUACCAUUCAUUAAUGACCAUUAUGAACAGUCCUUACAUAUGGGACACUUUGUCCAAAAGGCAUGGUAAUACAAUCCUUAAAGAGACCUCUUUAGGGCUUUUAUUUCAGUCCCAACAAUGAUGGUAGGAGGUCAGAUCUUCUCAAUAAUUAUGCAAUGUGAUUAUUGUUUUGAGUAAAUCUUUGAACAGGACAAUUUUAGUACACUGUCUUCAAUUUCAUCUUUGGUCAUUUCCAUGAUCUUCUCAAUAAUUUGCUUGUCCCUCAUUAACUCUACAGUUGAUUUCUCUAUAGUUUUUGAGAUAGAAAUCAUUAUGUUUAGUUUUAUUAUAUAUGAUACAAUUUAUUAUUUUUUAUUGGUUUCUUUUUUUCUUUGACUUAGUAUUCAUGAAGUAUAUUAAUUAUAUAUAGAAUAAAUUUAAUUUUUUAAAAAAUAAUAGAUCCAUAACUUGUAUUUAAUAAGAAUAACAACAUUCAUGAACUUGUUUUGGUUAAACAAAUAUAUAAUAUAAUAAUAAUUUAUAAUUUUAUAAUUAUAUAAUCACAAUACACGAUUUCAUGUAUUAACCUCAAUAUUUUAAAAAAAGAAGAAGAAUACUUUGAUAAAUUAAUUUUAUUAUUAAUUAAUGUAUAAAGUAAUAAAUUAUUAAUUUAUCAAAUAUCUUGAUUAAUUAAUAAAUUUUCAUAAUCCCAAAAUGUAUUAAUUGACAUAGAUUUAACUGUACAUGGGAAUUUGUAUGUGGCUCAGUGGCUGUAUUGAACCCAAGCAAGCUUUAAGAGCUUAAGAAAAACCCUCAAAUGGCCCAUCUUCCCACAAUUUAAUUUUCUUUUGCUGUUGUUGUUCGCAUAAACAAUCCAGGGAAGCACUGAUUUAUAUGUCAACCCAACUUCACAAUGGACAGCAGCAACCCAUUCUUGAAACAAUGCCCAGAUGCCAACAAGCAUGAAAACAGAGAAGAAAAGAUGGGAGCCUCGAGACACGAGAUUUCUUGAACAUCAUGCAUGGGAACCCAGAAUAUGGGAUAUCUUAGGGGUUCUGGUGAUAAGAAUGCAGCUUCACAACCAAGCUAUAUAUUUUAUACAUAGUACAUAGGCUCAAAGCCAUUACAGCCACUAAAGAAACCAGAAGAUGUGAACAAGAAGUCAAGUUUAAUUGGGAGAUGAUAUAGAUCGAAGCCAUCAUGACCAUUUGAGAGCACAGCUAAAAUGGAAGACAGCCCUGUAUGUUUGAAACUGUGUACAAUAAAAAACAAGCUAAAAGGCAGUCAAGUUUUCAGGUUUUAUGGUAGUCUUCGACUUGACAAAAAACCAUACAUCAAAACGCAUUUCCCUCCUCCUCCCCAACCGCUAGUACUAAUGGCUAAAUCAUCGCGCCGCCGAUAAAAUGAAGACAACUAGAGGAGUACUUAGAACCAAGCCAAGCCAACCAUAACACUAUCAGUUCCAUAAUCACCAAGCAUCCAUUACUAUGCAUAUACCGGGGCUAAAGUGGAACCAAGGGAAACAAUCAUAUAAGUGAACUGGAAGAAGAGCAUAGUUGCCGGCGUUCAUGUAUUUUUCUUUGGCUAUGAUCUUUUCAAUAUACUUUCGAUGAUUAUCCAAAAAAAGCAUAGUUGCCUGUGUUCAGGUAAGAUUCAGAGAAGCAUUGCCAGUGUUCAUGUAAGAAAGGAAGUCUUAAGAAAGUAAGCAUUAAACGGUUAUGGUUGAGGCUAAUAAUUCAUUAAAAUUAAAUUAAAGGCAGACAGAGAGAUUCAGAGAAAGAGAAAUACAAUCCAAUGUUAUAUUCUCCAACCAAAACUCGACGAAGGGAUUAGGGACAUCCUUGGCAUUAGGAUUCUCCCACCACAGAUAGUUGCCAUCUCUAUGCAUGAGACCUAAGCAGCCUGAAAAAGCCUCUCUAUCACCAUAAGCAGAACAGAGGACAUAACUGAAACAAUGUAAGAGUGAUUCAGAGUAUGCUUUCUUUCCUACCCUUAUUCAUUCAUAAAUAAGAGGCUUGUCAUCCUUCAAAAAGAUCACCCAGUAUUUAAAAGCCAUAAACUUUGAAAACAAUCAAACUCUCAAAAUUAAUUAACUUCCAUUUUUUGAGGGUUCACUGAAAAAUACUAUCCAUCAAGAAUAUUUGGAAUAUUCAUACAAAUCAAUCAGAAUUAAGACUAAUAAUUCAAAACUAAAACAUAUAAAUGUACAUGAAUUUAUUUUAAUAUACUGGUCAAGUUUUUAAUUAUUAUUUCAAAUAUUUCAUUACAUACAAUAAAAAAUAACAUCGUUUAAUAUUUUUUAAUACAAUUAUUUGCUUCUUUUUUUAACCCUUAACAAAGCACAGGCUCAAAGCUUAGUAGUUUUUGUAGUUGAGCCAAGGACUACAACUCCAUUUAAUAUUUUUUAUUUUGAAUUUUUUUAAAAUAUUUUUUUAGCUUUAAAUUAAUAUUUUUUAGUAUUUUUAGAUUUUUUUGAUAUGAGGAUAUUAUAAUGAUUUUAUUUAAAUAAUUUUGAUGCAUUUACAAGAAAAAAACAGUUUGAAAAACAACUUCUACAACACUUUGAUAAUGCUUAAUAUUGUAGUAGCAGUUAUUUUUAAAAAUAUUUUUUAUUUAAAAACAUAUUAAAAUAACAUAUUUUUUAUUUUUUUAUUUUUUAAUAUUAGCAUAUCAAAACAAUUUAAAAAUAAUAAAAAAAUUAAUUUUAAAAAAUUAAUUGGACCGCGUAGGCUUUACAACUCGCAUCUUUAGCUUUAAGAUAACAUCAAGACCAUUAUUCUCUGCCUUCUCUCCCUAUUAGCAAUCACAGUUGCCAAAAGAAAAGGGUGAUUUUCACCUACAAGUAGUCAAAGGAUUGGUCUUCUCUGCUUACCAAAAAAAAAAAGGAUUGGUCUUCUCCGCAAGAUUACGGAGCCAAAUCAGUAGUGCAAAAUCAUCAGAUAUUUCUCCAAGGCUACUCUUGAUUUAGAAACCAUUUGCUACUUUCUCUUGGUAACUUUCCUGUUCUUCUUUGGUCUGCUCGUGACUUUUUGAAAGGUCUGCUGAACACACGAAAAAGAGCUAACUUCUUCCAAAUGACUUCUAUUUUAGCUCUGUAUUAGGCAUGUACACAUCAUAGAAACGAAUUGUUUGAUGGUUAUGUUAGGGAAAAUAUCAUGGUUGUCUCGCAUGAGCAACAAUGUCUAUAACAUUACACGGAUUAAAGUAUUAUGAGGCCUCAUAUUGGAUAUUGUGGCAUGUCCAGCAGAAAUCACAAUGGACUCCUCCAUUGUAGAAUGUUUGCAAACAGAACUGUAAUGCAGGAACCAUGCAUAGAUGAAGUUAGAAUUUUUGGAUUUGUUGACUUAGUGUGUGUUUGGCAUUAUGGUAGCUUAGUUAUUACCUGCAAUUGAAUCCCCUGUUAUUAUUGCAGGCAUUUUGAAGGCUGAUCAUGAUUUCGAAAGUCCAGCUACUGACAGGCACGGUCUUCUUUUGGCCUCUACUAAUGGAGUAUUUGCAUGUUCUUCCAUGGCAUGGGCACUGAUGACUAUGCUCUUCUUACAAGUUCCCUAUUUGACAGCUUUUUUAUCUUUUUUGAACAAUACAAGUUCCUUGUUAUUAUUGCAAAAUGAGUGCAAAGUCCAUUCGUUACUUGCCUACCAAUUGCCUUGGGCAAAUCUCAUCAAUUUCAGUAGAGCAAAUGCCUUAAUGAUAACUAUCUGUUUGAGGAUGUUUUACAAUGUCGAACAAGGGAGGGGAAACAAGAUCAUUAAUUCAUGUGUUUUUAGAAUACGUGGGGUUAUUUGAAACUUGUUGGUAUUUUUUAUUUGAAAAUAAAUAAAAAUAAUAUUUUUAAUUUUUAAAAUUUAUUUUUGACAUUAUUAUAUCAAAACUAUUAAAAACACUAAAAACUUUUAAUUUAAAAUAAAAAUAUAUUUCUUCAAAAUUUGAUGAAAAACCGCACCCACAGCCCCACGCAGCUUCAAACAGGGCCUUGUCAAAAGAUUUUUUUUUCUACAAUGUUGCAAAAAUCAACUAAUAAUCAUAAUUUUUUUUCAUUGUAGUUGUAAAACUCAAUCUCACAGGUUAGUCUAACGGGUUGACUUUUGAAACUCAAGACUUAGAGCCUAACCUGUACUGGGUAAACCGGCAAAGCCCUUACUCAGUAGCUCAUUUGGCCUCAAUCUGGGGAGCCAUUGUCUGACCCGAUGACUUAUUUUUAUUCUAUUCCAAUUUCUAGGCUGGAUAUGUCCUUUAUGGCCUUUAAAUAUCCAAGAGGAAAUCGCAUUUUGUUCUGCCAAAUCUUUCGUUGCUUAAGAAUCUACUAUGAGCCAACAGGUUUGGAUUUGUUUUGCCUUUAUGCAAAUUUUUAUUGGCUUUUGUCUCCCUAAGGUUUUCAUUUAGAAAAAUCUUGACAUAUAGCAUAAUUUGAGAGGAAGGGGAGCAAAAUGUUGAACAAUUUCAAUAUCCAAGAUCCAUCAGAAAAAUCUCAUCCAUGAGAGAAGGUGAUAAAGAUAUGAAUUCCAAAGAAAAUCACUACGUUUUAGAAAUAACUGUUGAAGUCUUUUUUAUCAGUGAUCUGAAUAAAAGAACCCAAUAUUGGUUUAGAUUAAUAUUUAUUUAGUUUAAUUACAAGGUAAAGCAUAUAAAUUCUAUAUCAUAUGUCUUUCAUCGAUGAUCUCAUGAAUUUUGCUGAUGGAUCUCGUUAGAGUUUGAAAAGCAAAUAAUUAUUCUAGCUUCUAACUUGUUAAGAAAGAGGAAGAGAUACUUGGAGGAAGACAAUUCUUUUUAUUCAUCAAUCUCAUUACAUAUGGGGAGAAAAAGAUUACAGAGUAAUUAAAAUCUAAUUCAUGAAUAUGUUGGGGAAAUCCGACUGAUGAAGUACUGAUAUUUGCUCAUUGAAGGUUAAACACACUGACAUAAUAUUUAACGUGGUUCGGCAAACCGUCUACAUCCACAGGAGAGUCAAUAUUAUUAGAGAUAGAUAGAGAAAGGGUUACAACACAAAUACAUGGAGGAGAAGGAUCACUUCACUCUACUCUACUCCCAUCUCUCAUUGUUGCACUUGUAGUUGCUGCAUUGGCUACUGCCAUUGCAAUUCUUAUCUCUUUCUCUCUUCACAUACUCUCUACAUUCUCAUUUUUAUUUUGCUCUCAAAUAAUGCCUCUAUUUAUAGGCAUUUCAUGGCGGACAAUUAUGAGUGCUUUUGUGCUGGAAUGGAAUAGAUAUGGCUUCUCAAUCUCUGAGUUCCAGUUGGGUAGAUAUCUUGGUGUGCCUCUCAUUAGUGGAAAGCUAAAUGAUGUUGAUUGCAUGCUGCUCCUGAAAAAAAAAAAAAAUCAUUACUGUUCAUUUCUUACGGGCUUGAAACUAAAUUCAUUGGGAAAUGCAGAGCUAAUUUCAACCCAAAAAUUUGCUUAUCAUUUUUAGUGAAUAAUGAAAUAGAUGAUGAUUAACACAGAUGAUGAUUGACAGUGAUCAUUGAAAUGAUGAAGAAGGUUACAAUCAAAACACACCCAGAGUGAUACAGUAGGUGCUUCAAAGUCUAGACAACACUUACGGAAAGAAGUCUGACGCAGGAGAUUCUAGAGGAGCUGGGCUAUCACAUACGUAGUUGAUAGCUUUGAACUACCUUGACAUGGCAGACCAGUGCAGGGACAGAAGGACACAAGAGUUUGGGUCCGAUUUGAAGAUGUUUUUGCACACUAUGAAACAAUAAGUUGUCAGGCUUAAGAUCUCUGUGCAUGAGAACAAGUGAAUCACAAGCCUCAAAAACCCCAACGAUGGCAUUAGGAUUCUCCCACCACAGAUAGUUGCCAUCUCUAUGCAUGAGACCUAAGCAGCCUGAAAAAGCCUCUCUAUCACGAUAAGCAGAACAGAGGGCAUAACUGAAACAGUGUAAGAAUGAUUCAGAGCAUGCUUUCAUUCCUACCCUUAUUCAUUCAUAAAUUAGAGGCUUGUCGUCCUUCACCAUCGUCCUGCAAAAAGUUAACCCAGUAAUUAAAAGCCAUAAACUUUGAAACCAAUCAAAUUCUAAAAAUUAAUGAACUUCCAUUUCUUUUGUGGGUUCGCUCAAAAAUACUAUCCAUCAAGCAUAUCUGGAAUAUUCAAACAAAUCAAUCAGAAUUAAUGCUUAUAAUUCAAAAUCUUGUCAGGCUUAGGUCUACCUUAAUGAUGUCCCACAACCAUGCAAGGCCAUGAAGGACAUCCUUAGCAUCAGGAUGCUCUCAGUGCACUACUGACGCACACCAUUCUUUUGUUUCCUUGUGAAUCGAACUUAAUGCAGACAACAAGGCUUGAAUCAGGAAGAGAAUUGGUUAUAAGCAGACAGAAAGAUUCAGAGAGACAGAGAGAGGCUAUGUACCCAGAUAUCCCACAGCAAUAAUAAAUUUGGUGCUCAAUUCAAAAGCAUUUUAUGAAAUUGUCUGACAUGAGAAAUUAGGAUUAC
RNAcentral lists this long non-coding RNA (20339 nucleotides) under Populus tremula. RNAcentral describes it as "long non-coding RNA (PTRE_LNC001722)". Lineage: Eukaryota; Viridiplantae; Streptophyta; Magnoliopsida; Malpighiales; Salicaceae. The record is from RNAcentral.